UUGUUGGUUUCGUUCGCAUGCAUGAUGUUUUCGUUCUGUUUGAUUAGUUCCUAAGUGUGUAUUCUCUGUUGUUUUAGGCAUAAUUUUAGCACUUGGAGGAGUCAUUUGGAGUCAUUUAGAGCUUGAGGAGUAGGAUUUGCGUAGCGAAGUGAACUACGAAGUUGAAGAUCAAUGUAAAAUAAUUCAUCUUAGUAGCAAACAAGGAGGAGAUGACGUGAUUGAAGAAAUUGUGUUUCCAUCUUCGCUGUCCCUUUUGAGGUUGACUCCGUUCAUAUAGUACUGGUGACGGAAAUUUAUUCGAACUAUUUGGACUCUUAAUUGCAUUCGCAAGCACAUCCAUAUUGGAGCUAAGGUAUAAAAUGACACCGUAAUUUUGUUAAUAUUUUUUAUAUUGAUGUACUGUUGUGAAUAAUGUGCAUGCCGCUGCAAAUAUUAUUAUUUGUAAAUAAAUGAUUGUUAUCGUAUGAUAUGAAAAAAAUUAUAUAAAGCCGGAAGAAAUUAAAUGUUUUACUCAUAUAUGAUAUUAAAAUGUUAUUAUCGUACUAUUGUGUUUAGUGGUUGUUUGGAUAGCGAGUAAUUACCAUCGGUUUUGUCAUAACCUGUUGUAAGAAAAUUAGUUUUUACUAAUAGCCGUUUUUACUCUCGUAGACGAGUUUGAGAAAAAAUAGAUCUUUAAAUACCCGUUAACCAAACAACCCCUUAAAGUCUAAGCAAAUGAUUCUAGAAACCGAAUAUUUGUAACGAAAAUACGGUUAUUAUUUUAGUCGUAUGAUAUGUAAAUGUUGUCAUCGUUACUAAAUGUUUAGUUACUAAUUAUUUGAAAUGUAAACAUAUAUGGUGGUUAGGUACUAUAGAAAAUUUAGUAGUGUACUAUGGCAACGUGUUACGCGACGGUCCUUUCGGGGUGGAUGUGUCCUUGUGCGAGUCGACUACAGUUGUAGUGAGAGACAUGGUUAACGUGGGUUACGCAGCAGUUAGAAGGUGCAUCCGAGCGGUGUUUGGCCCAGGGAUGCAGGGAAAAAAAUGACAAUGGAGGCCUUCGUCGUUGAUGGAGGAAAUGAUGGGACAAUUGCCCGUUGGGGUUUGCGGCCUGUCACAGGUGAUCGGUCGUGGGGGUCGUACAUGUGGUUUGCAAGCAAUCCCAAUAACUCAAUGUAUGGUCAGCCGAUGGUGUAUGUGGAGUUCAUUUCAGUCACUGAUGUUGCCGGAUGCAGUAGCAGGGGUGGUGAGGUCGAGUUGGCCAUCACAUCAGCCCCUAGCGUCGGCCCAUCGGAACCGACGGGCGGCCAACCUGUGUAUGAC
Aegilops tauschii subsp. strangulata is the source of this 1302-nucleotide non-coding RNA. NCBI's taxonomy places the organism in Eukaryota, Viridiplantae, Streptophyta, Magnoliopsida, Poales, Poaceae. The record is from RefSeq and is a predicted model, not a curated record.